RNAcentral lists this transfer RNA (74 nucleotides) under Paucibacter sp. KCTC 42545. It matches the Rfam family "tRNA". Rfam says of the family: Transfer RNA (tRNA) molecules are approximately 80 nucleotides in length. Their secondary structure includes four short double-helical elements and three loops (D, anti-codon, and T loops). Further hydrogen bonds mediate the characteristic L-shaped molecular structure. tRNAs have two regions of fundamental functional importance: the anti-codon, which is responsible for specific mRNA codon recognition, and the 3' end, to which the tRNAs corresponding amino acid is attached (by aminoacyl-tRNA synthetases). tRNAs cope with the degeneracy of the genetic code in two manners: having more than one tRNA (with a specific anti-codon) for a particular amino acid; and 'wobble' base-pairing, i.e. permitting non-standard base-pairing at the 3rd anti-codon position. Lineage: Bacteria; Pseudomonadati; Pseudomonadota; Betaproteobacteria; Burkholderiales; Sphaerotilaceae. The record is from Rfam by way of RNAcentral.
CGGGGUGUAGCGUAGCCAGGUAGCGCGCCACGUUCGGGACGUGGAGGCCGGAGGUUCGAAUCCUCUCACCCCGA